Molecule: ribosomal RNA, 392 nt
Filed under: uncultured bacterium
Lineage: Bacteria
Description: partial 16S ribosomal RNA
Rfam family: Bacterial small subunit ribosomal RNA
Source: RNAcentral
AUACGUAGGGGGCGAGCGUUGUCCGGAAUUAUUGGGCGUAAAGGGUACGUAGGCGGUUUUUUAAGUCUGGUGUGAAAUUGGUGGGCUCAACCCACCCAAGCAUUGGAAACUGGAAAACUUGAGUCAUGGAGAGGAAAGUGGAAUUCCUAGUGUAGCGGUGAAAUGCGUAGAUAUUAGGAAGAACACCGGGGGCGAAGGCGGCUAUCUGGACAGUAACUGUCGCUGAGGCGCGAACGCGUGGGGAACAAGCAGUAUUAGAUGCCCUGGUAGUCCUCGGCGUAAACUAUGAUAGCUAUCUUUUAGCGAUACACAGUUAGAGCGUAAGACAAAACAUUAAGUUAUCCCCCUGGGGAUUACGGUCUCACGAAUGAAACUCAAAGGAAGUGACGGGG